UACGUAGGGUGCGAGCGUUGUCCGGAAUUAUUGGGCGUAAAGAGCUCGUAGGCGGUCUGUUGCGUCCGCUGUGAAAACUCGGGGCUUAACCCCGAGCCUGCAGUGGAUACGGGCAGACUAGAGGUAGGUAGGGGAGAAUGGAAUUCCCGGUGUAGCGGUGAAAUGCGCAGAUAUCGGGAGGAACACCGGUGGCGAAGGCGGGUCUCUGGGCCGACAUUGACGCUGAGGAGCGAAAGCGUGGGGAGCGAACAGG
RNAcentral lists this ribosomal RNA (253 nucleotides) under uncultured bacterium. RNAcentral describes it as "partial 16S ribosomal RNA". It matches the Rfam family "Bacterial small subunit ribosomal RNA", at positions 524 to 776 of the family's 1533-position model. The record is from RNAcentral.